Amphibalanus amphitrite is the source of this 734-nucleotide long non-coding RNA. RefSeq lists it as uncharacterized. The transcript is spliced from 2 exons. NCBI's taxonomy places the organism in Eukaryota, Metazoa, Arthropoda, Thecostraca, Balanomorpha, Balanidae. The record is from RefSeq and is a predicted model, not a curated record.
GCGAAUUGCCUGGUGGUGAUAGAACAUUUUUGAAACGAAAAUUCGUAAUAGCGCUGCUGAAAUGAACAUUUCUUCACGUCUACGGUGCCGGUUUUGGUGCCGGUAAUAGCUUUGGAGAAAAAGUUGCAUCUCUACAAGUGGCACCACCUGACCCGACCUCGGUCGGAUUUGUCGGCUGGCCGCUCACUCUGUUUUGUGCUGGAUCGCAGGAGGGUCGCUGGUCGCUGUGUGCAGAGGUCAGGUAGACCGUUCGUCGUUUCUGCAAAGAUGUCUCAAAAAGAACAGUUCUAUAAACUGGUUCACGAAACCAAAAUAUCUUCAAACUCUGCUUUGAUUACCGAUGAAAAGUACGAGAUUAUAAAGGAAGAACUGCAGGGAAUCAGCAAAGGCGCAAAACCGUCGGGCACCGCGAAACGUUCGCAGUGUUCGCAGUGUGUCGGCGAGUCACAGUAUAUAAUUGGCACGACGAAGGGGAAGCUGUCCGGCGUCUACGGCCCAGAAGCAGUACAACCGUGUGCCGGGCACUUCAUCUCCUCCUCCGACGUCCCCGACAUCUCGAUCACACUUAGAGAAUGUGCUCGCCUGGUCUCAGGGGGGAAGGGUCAGGGGAUGUUUUCCUGCAAGUGCAGGAGGGGUGUAUGUAAAGGCCGAUGCAAGUGCAUCAAGGCGGGCGUUACUUGUAUCAGUCGCUGCCAUAAAGGCGCUCACUGCAAUAAUAAAUAGUAAGAAAGUCA